UGAGCCAUCUCUCCAGCUCCCCCAUCCUGUCAUGUCUACCCUUGUCGCUUAACCCCUUCCCUCCACGGAGCACAUACACUCCCUGCUUCCUGCAGAUCCUGGAACUUGGGGCCAGCCAGAGCCAGGAGUUGACAGCUAGUACAAGAAAGAAAUAGAGUUGGGAUUUUGCAGAUAAAGGCCCCCCUUCCUGGUGACCAUACUCCAUCCACAACUCUUGGCUUAGGAUGUCCUGGAGAUAAGAUAUAUCAAAGAUUCCUCUAAUGGGAAAGGCUGCGAUUGCUGUACACCCACCGACUCCAGCCUUCCAUGAUUGUCAUUCUGACCAUUCCACUUGGCCCCAGUGUCCAGGCCUCCCAGGCUCCCUCCACCCCCAUGCUCCACAGAGAGCCCCAAUGGCAGGCCCUGACAUGCUUUGGAAGCCAUAGGAGAUAGAGUGGGGCAUCCUGUCUAGAUUCCCAAAUUUCUCUCUCAUCUUCCUGGCCCUGCCUCUGCUCCAUCAACAUAUGCACCCACACUCGAGGUUGCUCAGGGGGCAAAACUGAGAAAAGGGCUCUAGUCAGGACCCUUAAGAAGGCUAUUGUUCCUCUCUGUGUGUACUGAGCCUCGUAGCUCUCCACUGUCAUCCUGUUUCCUCUGAAAAAACCUGGCCUCUAGGGCUCAUUUUCUACAGCUCCUCAUUCUCAUGGCAUUUUUUUUUUAUCUCCAGGAAAGCACAUGUCUCAUGAACAAAAGCACUCUGUGGGCAUUGCAGACCUGAGAGGAGACAAGGAGUGUGAAAAGGGUACCCACACCACCUUUCUUCUCCUCCAGGUUCUAGCACAGGGGCCUACCUGGGUCCUUGAGUGAGCAUCCCUUUCUUCAUCUGGCACAUCCUCUGGAGUCUAAGCUCCAGAUAGGCACUGGGCUCAUCCAGCACAUGCCCCAGGCCUCCCGGGGCUCUCUGAUGACAUGGUGGUGACAGCGUUUCCUAGGGAACUGCAGCUAGCUGCCAGACCAACAUGCCUGUGCCCCUUGGGGCUGUGGUGGGCGUAGGCUGGGAUGCUCCAGAGGGAAGGUGUGUGUCUGUGUGUAAUGAGAUGAGGAGUGUGUGUCUACACAAGAAUCCUCAUGUGAGUGUGUGACACUGUGGGCGAAGCAUUCCCUCGUUGACUUCUGUAUCUGGGGUCUUCAUAAGGUGCAUGUGUUAGUGUCUUGGGUCUGUGUCCUGCAAGCCUCUGCAUGUGAGCUUGUGUGCCCUGGGGCUUUGGUGUGCCUCUAAAUCCAUGUGGGUGUAUGUAUCUUUAAGUGUGUGCUUGUAUAUCUGUGUGUGUGAAUAUAUUUGAGCAUCUGUGUAUGUAUAUGUAGUGCAUUGGGCUUCUGUGGUACUCUUAUGCUCUCUCUGCAGGCCUAAGGCUUCUUGCAGCAGCCUCCUGGGCCCAGAGCCAAGCUUUCUAUCCAGCUAGCAAUGCACCAUUCCUGACCCUGAGCCUUCAGGUAAACUGCCUUUAGCAAACAGCACGGAGGGCAACAAGCAGGGUCACUAAAGCAAGCCCAAACCUGGCUGAGAGCUUGAAGGUGCUACCACUCUCCAAGGCUUGCUAGCUGGAAGCAAGAAACAAUAAUGUCUACAGAGUAGCCCCUUUCCCUGAGUGCCACCUCCCUCAGUGAGACAGGAUACAGGAACAGUGAAGCCUGAUCUCUGUGCAUUGCAUCUGGACAUCCUGGAUACCUGAUUGACACAGGAGAUGCGAAAUAAGGUUGUAUCUGGUAGGAAGAAAGAGCUUCUUCUCCUGAAAUGGAUGCCUGGUGGUGCCCUGGAAGGUAAGGGGUCAGGGGAGAAGGCUCUAGCAGUGUCUGGACCAUGUCCCAGUGUGGCCACCUUGAGCAAACAGCAGGUAGGCCUGAUGGUGUGCAGCCAGGGGUGGGUCGAAUGACUUCCUCCUCCAUUCCCGAGACCUGUUGCAGUCUGAGCAGGCUUUUGUGGCUGACCUCAUUGUUUUGUGAUACAAUAAACAUCAGACCUGA
Molecule: long non-coding RNA, 2004 nt
Organism: Mus musculus (house mouse)
Lineage: Eukaryota; Metazoa; Chordata; Mammalia; Rodentia; Muridae
Product: predicted gene, 51504
Exons: 2
Source: RefSeq, a predicted model, not a curated record